Molecule: long non-coding RNA, 1319 nt
Filed under: Nicotiana tabacum (common tobacco)
Lineage: Eukaryota; Viridiplantae; Streptophyta; Magnoliopsida; Solanales; Solanaceae
Description: long non-coding RNA (NTAB_LNC002646)
Source: RNAcentral
CACUACACAUCAAAGGGAUCCAAUAUGACACUAUUUAUGAAGAUUUAAGUCAGAAGAGCCCUGAACUCCUGCAGCAUAAUCCCGUUCACAAAAAAAUUCCUGUGCUUGUACACAAAGGCAAACCAAUCUGUGAAUCACUGGUAAUUCUCGAGUAUAUUGACGAGACUUGGAAGGAAGCUCCUUUGUUACCUCAGGACCCUUACGAGAAAGCCACAGUGCGUUUUUGGGCAAAAUUUGGGGAGGAGAAGGUAAGAAACCAUUGAUCUGUUAAUUUCAGCACAAAAUAAAUAAGAAUUUCUGCCACUGCAUCAUCUACGGAUGCACCAGUCCGUCAGUAUGAAACUAUGGUGAGUGAAGGUGUUAAAAGAAGACAUGGUAAACCUAAAAUGAGUUGUUUUGAAAGACCUACAAAUCAUUAAAAUCAAUAUAGACUUAGCUAAAGAUAGGGCUCAAUGAACGAAAAAGAUUCAUAUAGGUGAUAUACAUACAUACAUACAGAUAUAUAUAUAUAUACACAUAUAUAAAAACUUAUUUUAUGCUUUCACUUUUAUUUUAUUUUUGUAUGAUGAUGAUAUGAGUUGAGCUUAAAAGAAGUGAAGAUUUCAUAUAACCGACCACAACUUGUUUGAGACUGAUGUGCAGUUGUUAUUGUUGUCUUAUUGUGUCUAUAUUAAUAUGUGAAGAGAGUGACAAGAUAAUAGUGAGUAUUACUCAGACAGUAGACAUUUUCCAGUUAUAACAAGAAGCUUACUUUUCAAGAAUGAAUUGAAUUUUUGUUGAUAUGUUUCUUUUGUCUGCAGCUUCUGCCAUCAAUAUGGAGUGUAUUCACAGGACAAGGAAACGAGAAAAACGAAGCUCUUGGUCCAGCAGUACAAAAUCUAGAACUCUUUGAAGAGCAACUGAAAGAGAAGAAAUUUUUUGGUGGAGAGGAAAUAGGAUACCUGGACCUUUCACUUGGUUGGUUGGCAUAUCUUCUUGAUGUAUUUGAAGAGGUAAUCGACCUGAAGUUGUUCGAUGCAGCCAAAUUACCUCUCUUGUCAGCAUGGAUGAAUAACUUUUAUGAUGCUCCAGUAAUCAAAGAACACUGGCCACCUCGAGACAAAUUAGUGACCAAAUUCCAGCUGCUUCAUGAAAAUUACCAGAAAGCAUUUGCUGCUAAAUGAACUAGUUUGUGAAAGUUGCUGCUGUAUUAUAGUUCAUGGAAAUAACAACAAACUCCAUCAGCUGAUGGCUGAACUGCUUGUAUCAAGUUUUGGAUGUUUUCUGAACUAUCAGGAAUAAAAGUUAUGAAAUUCUUACUUGGCUAUCUUUACUUGCUA